This 23-nucleotide non-coding RNA is filed under the name Cricetulus griseus (Chinese hamster). The record is from RNAcentral. Lineage: Eukaryota; Metazoa; Chordata; Mammalia; Rodentia; Cricetidae.
CGCUGUAAGCUCUAAGACAGGCA